Molecule: ribosomal RNA, 251 nt
Filed under: Escherichia coli
Lineage: Bacteria; Pseudomonadati; Pseudomonadota; Gammaproteobacteria; Enterobacterales; Enterobacteriaceae
Description: partial 23S ribosomal RNA
Rfam family: Bacterial large subunit ribosomal RNA
Source: RNAcentral
GGGUUGUGAGGUUAAGCGACUAAGCGUACACGGUGGAUGCCCUGGCAGUCAGAGGCGAUAACGGGGAGCAGCCCAGAGCCUGAAUCAGUGUGUGUGUUAGUGGAAGCGUCUGGAAAGGCGCGCGAUACAGGGUGACAGCCCCGUACACAAAAAUGCACAUGCUGUGAGCUCGAUGAGUAGGGCGGGACACGUGGUAUCCUGUCUGAAUAUGGGGGGACCAUCCUCCAAGGCUAAAUACUCCUGACUGACCG